UACGGGGGGGGCAAGCGUUGUUCGGAAUUACUGGGCGUAAAGGGCUCGUAGGCGGCCAACUAAGUCAGACGUGAAAUCCCUCGGCUUAACCGGGGAACUGCGUCUGAUACUGGAUGGCUUGAGGUUGGGAGAGGGAUGCGGAAUUCCAGGUGUAGCGGUGAAAUGCGUAGAUAUCGUGAGGAACACCAGAGGCGAAGGCGACUUCCUGGACAAUUGCUGACACUCAGGCACGAAAGCGUGGGUAGCCAAAGGG
This 253-nucleotide ribosomal RNA is filed under the name uncultured bacterium. RNAcentral's name for it is "partial 16S ribosomal RNA". It matches the Rfam family "Bacterial small subunit ribosomal RNA", at positions 524 to 776 of the family's 1533-position model. The record is from RNAcentral.